GAGCACCUACGGGGCGCAGCAGUAGGGAAUAUUGCUCAAUGGGGGAAACCCUGAAGCAGCAACGCCGCGUGGAGGAUGAAGGUUUUCGGAUUGUAAACUCCUUUUGUUAGAGAAGAUAAUGACGGUAUCUAACGAAUAUGCACCGGCUAACUCCGUGCCAGCAGCCGCGGUAAUACGGAGGGUGCAAGCGUUACUCGGAAUCACAGGGCGUAAAGAGCGCGUAGGCGGGAUAGCAAGUCGGAUGUGAAAUCCUAUGGCUUAACCAUAGAACUGCAUUUGAAGCUGUUAUUCUAGAGUAUGGGAGG
This 305-nucleotide ribosomal RNA is filed under the name uncultured bacterium. RNAcentral's name for it is "bacterial SSU rRNA". It matches the Rfam family "Bacterial small subunit ribosomal RNA", at positions 334 to 655 of the family's 1533-position model. The record is from RNAcentral.